This 444-nucleotide ribosomal RNA is filed under the name Triticum aestivum (bread wheat). RNAcentral's name for it is "partial small subunit ribosomal RNA". The record is from RNAcentral. Lineage: Eukaryota; Viridiplantae; Streptophyta; Magnoliopsida; Poales; Poaceae.
AUGAAAGGCGGUAGGAAGAACCUGCGGCGCGCGUGCGAGGAGGGCACCGCGGUGACGCUGGCGGAGGGCGAGAGCAUCAUGCAGGUCGUCACGCUGCGCGGCUCCAACCUCAUCGAGGUGACGGACGGCGAGGGCGUCAAGUCUCUCGCCCUAUUCCCCGCCAAGUUCCAGACGAGCUUCUGGAUCAAGAACGGGAAUUUCGUGGUUGUGGAUGCUAGUGGGAGGGACGAGGCUCUCGAAUCUGGAAGUAGGAGCCGGCUAUCUUCAAGUCGACACCCAAUGGGUGGGCGACAGGGCCAGAGGGAACGACAUCGCAGGCUGAGGAAGAGCACAACUCCGAAGAAGAAGACGACGAUGAUGAUAUGCCGCCACUUGAGGCAAACACGAACGGAAAUAAUACCGUUUGACGUGCAUUCCGAUACAGAAAGUGACUCUGAUUCUUGA